GGUUUCUGAGGAUGCAGGUUUUUGUCUUUGUGCGUGUAAACGUCACAUCCUGAAACGAGGACUAAGUUCUUACCGGCGUUUAGAAAAACCCGACCUGCAGACUCAGACGAACCUGCACAGCCGAGAGACAAAUCAGCAAAACAAACAUGGCUGCAGCAACACGAGCGUCCCACUUUGAAUCUAAUCGAACUUAUUUUGACCCUCUUCAUAAAAAAGAACGAUUUCAAAGUUUUCCUGCAGACAGACGAUUUUAUCUGAACUCAAAGAACAAGAGGAGACGUGAGCUGCAGAGGUCGAUAUUAUAGUUUAUUUUACAACAAAUCAAGUAAAAGGUAAAAACUGACGUGAGGCUGUGAACUCUGCAGGAGGAGGACUUUAAUUUGGUCUAAAUACUUUCAGUCCCUCCAUCAUUUUAACUUUUUCUGAAGCAAAAACUCAGUAAUCUUCUGCUCUGAAAAUUCAAGUCCUGAUGUUCCCCAAAGUUCUUCAAUCUGAGUUUUUAGUGCAGCUUUAACUUUCUUUUCUGACUCUGUUUCAUAUUAAAAACAGUCUCAGUGCAGGAUCAUGUCACACAAACUUAUUUAAUUUAAGUAACACAAAUGUAACGUAUGCAGAGAAAAAUACUGUUGUGUUUUUAUUCCUUUAUAUUUAUUUCAGCAGAGAAUAUACAGAUGCUGCUGCAGACGCUGAUUUUAGUUGUCCUGAUAUUCUUGUUGAUUAAACAGCGUUUAUAAGAAGCUGAAAUAAUUUGUAAAUUUGCAUUUAAAUCAGUCAGAAAGUAAAGAAAUCCUAAACUAUACUUUGUCCAAUCUGUAGAUGCACUUUUGCUGAAUCUCUGGUUGUUUUUUUAAUCUGUUUCAGACAUAAAAUCAAAUACAGUUUAACUUUUAGAGAUCAUUGACAAUAAUGACUCUCACACUUUGGUCAAAGUUUCUAAGAAUAAGAGUCGUUUUUCUCCGCGGUUCAACCCUUCAUUCAGAAACGAUCACCGUUCCUGCUCUUCGUAUUCCUCACCUCCCCCCUCCUCUCUCAGCCGCCUCGUCUAAUAGAGUCCAAAAAUGCCUGAAAUGUAACUUUAAAAGGUCUCAGUGAUGUGGCCUGAAGGAUUGUGGGAGUUUUGGUGACAGUGUGGUCGAACCUUGAGGAGAAUCUCCACCCUGGUUUAAUGACAGAUCUGGGGAAUCAGCGCACACAUGCUCGGCUUUUUCAAAUAUGAACAUCAUCACCAAAUUGAAGCCAUAUGGAUCUUAGACGAGCGCUUUUAUCAAGAGUGGAAAAACACAUUCGAGUGUCACAUUUAUUACAGAAACUGUGACAUGUGUACAUCCAUUUGAGAUGGUUUUACAGGCUGAUGAGGUCUGCUGUGAUUUUAGGGGAGGAUCAGGAUACUUGAGCCUGAGCUGACCCUGCAGAGCUCCUGUAACCUCGUGUUUACUUCACCUUUGACCUGUUAAAGCCAGAAACACUCAACGCACCACAAAUCAGCAUGCAUGAAGAUCUGAGAGGGUAGAGACUCCAGCUGAUGGUUACCUGAGUUACCCUAAAGUUAUAAUGAUGUAAACAUGGAGGAAACAGGAGCGGACUGAACCACUCGGCUCAAAUUUAGGGGUGAGAGGAAACCAGGAAGAGGCUCAGAGUGAAGGAUGAGGCUCCUUCUGCAGAUAAUUGUACUUAUGACCUGAAAGGAAUUUUAAAACAAUAAAACUUGAGCUUUAUUUUUAAUCUCAGACCUCCUCCUCCUCCUCCUCCUCUUCCUCUUCGUCCUCCUCGGUGGGCUCCUGGGUGGUCAGUCCGUCCUUCCUUCCAGUCGCAGUCAAAACAAGCCGAACAGACAAACGAGGGCCGAUAAAAAGCCAAUAGGAAGAGCUGAAAAUAGCAGAAAUCAGAGUGAAACACAUCAUCAUUAAAACAGAAUUAAAGCGGAAUCAGACAGACGCGCUCUGUGCCGGAUGUAACGCCUCCUGUGAUUGGCCGCUGCUCCGUGACGCUCCUGCUGAAGGUUCGUGUCAGUUAACGGGAUAAUCGCUGCAACUUAAGUGGUCAAGUGGCCUGUUAGAUAUGUGUGCGUGUGUGUGUGUGUGUGUGUGUGUGUGUGUGUGGAUUCCCUCCGUCGCAUGAAAACAAUCUUCAUCUAAUAUUUUUCCACGACAUCAACUAAUGUAAAUGACGAUGGGGGUGUUAGUAUGUAGUCUGUAAUUACACAUCACCCCCUCCCUCCUCUCUCUCUCUCUCUCUCUUCCUCCCUCCUCCUCCUCUUCCUCUUCUUCUUCUUCGUCUCUGAGCUUUAGUGGUUCUUGUGUUCAGGCCUCCUCCUCCUCCUCCUCCCCUUCUUCCUCCUCCUCCUCCUCCUCGGCUCUGCGGCUGCUUCCAGCUCGUCGUGUUUGAAAGACGACUGCUGCACCCUACAGUUUAAACCCCGUCUCUCACUGAGCUGCUCAGACGCUGCUCUGCUUCGCUUUUUCACUCUCAAAUCUCAACGAUUCAGAUUUUUUUAUUUAAUCUGUCAUAAAGAAAGCUUUUGUGCGACGGCAGCAGAGAGAAACAGAGAGAAAUCCUGACCUCCUGAUUAGAUUUAGCUGUUUUUUGGUGCCGUUCUUUGAGUGAAGAAAGGCUCCACUGUUUUUCUGCUGCUUUAAAGUGCUUCCAACUCUUAAAUUAUUUCAGCUCUCGGCCUUCAGUGGAGACUCUAAGUGUCCUGUGAUGGUCUAAAUGAAAUAUCAAAGGCUUCUCCUCUUAAUGAGGAGACAUUUCUGCCAUUAAAUGUGAAGAUUUGGAAAUAUUCUGCCAGAUGAUUAAAUUAAAAAAAAACUCCCCUCGACAUGUGAACUCUUCUCUUCUCACUUCUGCACCUUUAGAGUAAACGUUGGUGAAAUAUAGAAUAAAAACAUCGAUAUAAUUCAUCUGAUUUUACCAAACCAAACAUUAAAAAAACAAAAAUUAUAUUUUUAAAGUUAAUAUUUGUAAUUUUGAAGUAUCUCAAAUUACCCACAGCGUAUAUUUCCAAUAAUGCAUGUUGCACGUGCGCUCUGAUUUAUAUCUCAUCAUUUAAAAUUUAAGCAAAUUUUUGCAUUUGAUUAAAUUUUUCUAGUGAUUUUAUCUUUUUAGGUUUUAAUUUGUAAACCUGGUAAAUUUUAAAAGUGUCAGAAUUUAUAUUUACAGUCAAUAAAUCUGAGUAUCGGCUCUUAAAACGUGUUAAAAUCCGUGAAUUUUGCAAUAUCAGGUUUAUUUAAAUGCAACAUAAUAUUAUAACAACAUUUCCAAACGCAUGAAGCUUUUUUUAAGUUUAAAAAUAAUAACUCCUGUUUCCUGUUUGUGGUUAAUAUUUCGGUGUGAUCUCUGCGAGCAUCAAAAGUCCGAUUUUUGAAUAUCCUGACGCUCUGAGCGACAACAGGAGAAAGACAAUGACUGAGGCGACUUCAUUCAUCAUCAUCAUCUUCGCUGCUGCGGUCUGAUCCGGGCAGUUUAUCAAAAACAUUAUUAUGUAAUCAGAAAUAAUCUGGAGCAUCAGGCAGGAAAAUGUGUCAUAAAUGCUAAUUUACAGUUAAAUAUCAGAUCUGUCAAAUAAGGAAAAAACACCUACAUGUUAUCAGCUUUGAAAAUAUCAAUAUGUCCCAAAUAUAUCCAAACAUGAGUCAGCGCCUACACCAGGAGCGCCUAUUCAUAGACGCCUCACGCUGCAGGGUCGUAACCUUUGACCUUUUCAGCUCAAAAUUUCUCAAAUUCAGAGUAAAACGAAGUCGAACAGGCGAACGUCUCCGUGAAAAAGAGAAAAGGUCCAAAUCAAAGUCCGUCCAGUCCUGACCGUCCUGAGAGCAGCGACUUUAUCCUCCUGUUCAAAAUAUUUGGUGAUUUCUAAAGAAACUUUCUGUGUUUUUUAGUCUGUUUUAUAAUUAUUGUUUGUCACAGUUCGCUCUCGUUUCUUUUAAAAUACAGAUUUAUUAAAAAUAUCGAAUAAAAACAUCAUCUGAGAGACAGCGGAGUUUGGUCGAAUCCUGCUUUUUGGUUAAAGAUGCUGAUAUUCAGCUUUAGGUGCAUCUUUACAUUUAAACUGUUUAUAAAAGACAGAAAAUCUGAUAUUUUUAGUGACAGUUCGAGUUUUUGGAUUUCUUCUGCACCGUUAAAAAUCUACAUAUUAUAAUUUAAUCACAUGUUCCUCACAGACCUGGUCGAUGAUUUUAACUAAUUUUUGUCGAAUUUUAGUCCCAAAAAUCUGCAGAAACUCGUCACCUAAACGGGCGUAAACAUGCAGGUUGAUUAAAGCUGGAGGUCAAAGGUCAGAGAGGAGCGUGAUGUUAACAGUUUAACGGCCGUCAUCAUCGUGAUCAAAACUUUAAACCUGCAGAAAAAAAACCUGCUUUAAUUUUAAAAACAAACGAGAACGACGAGAAGCAAAAAAACAACUUUAACAACAAAUCUGCAUGUUUGUCUGUAACACAAAGAACUGAAAGUGCGUCAUUAUUAUAAUAUCAUAACAUCCAAACAUCUCUGUAAAUCACACACACACGCACACACACACACACACAGAUCUCCACUCGGUUUAAUUCAAAGCCUCUCCAUGAACCAUCUAUUUAAACACAUCUUAAUACAACAUGCUAAUUAGAUCAUUAUCAUAGAAUAUUCAGCCAAUGACAGCAGCAUAUUAGUGCGCCGGAUAAUGACCUGUCAAUAUGCAUAAUAUAGACUCAUAAUUACGACAUAAACUAUCUCUGCAGUGGAGAUUUAAACAUGAUGUUAAGUAUGUAAUGUUAAUCUGAUGGAGUCGUUAUAUUAAUCGGUAUUUUAUGCAAACAAACAAAGUCGAGGCGUCACUCUGCGGUCUGUGUUUUUACUGCAGAGUGUCAUUUAGUUAAAAAAUAAUCUGAUUUAAUUCACAGAAAUGACGAAAAAGUUUCAGAUUUAUAUUCUUAUGAAUGAAGUAUCAAGUUUGGUGUCUUACCCGGAGUGCAGCUCACAGCAGAAGUGAAACGGUGGACUUAAACACUCAGAGAGCAUCGAGCCAAAAUGGAAAGAUGCCACGACGACCGCUGAUACAGAAAACAGACCAAAGAGUCUCGUUUAAGAUCCUCGUUCAGAAAACAAGGAACCAGCUGCUGGAAACAGGUUUUUACAGAAGAUGAGGAAAAUAAAAUACGGCACAAGUAUAGAUGAGGAAAAAUGCAGAAGAAAACUUCGAUUAAUGAUCUGAAUAAUGGGUCUAAAAAAAGAGUUUAAACAAACCAAAGUCCGUCAGAGUUAUCCUGAUAUAUCUCCUCAUUUCAUAAGGAGUUAGAUGAAAAACCUUUGCAGGAGUUUAAUGUAAAAAAGUGAGAUUUCCUGCAGCUCAUGUAAAGUGUUUGAGUCACUCUGAGGUUCAUAACUAAGAAUUUAAGAAUUUCAUGUGUUACAUAUCUGAUGGUUGUUUUUAGGUGACAUUUUGGACCUUUCAGGCUCCUGUUGUGAUUCAGUGCACUAAAAAAAAACUGCAUGUCCACUUUAAGGACCUGUGUCAGAUAUUCAAAAGUAAAGAUGUCAUUUACAGCAUUUUUCCAGCUGCUUCUGUAAAAAUAGGACACGGAUCCAGGAUUUUGCACUUUGGAUUACACGUUGACAUGAAUUAAUAGUGAUAAGUGAGGAUGCACACGCAGAUUGAGAUUAAGAAGCGGCCUCUGAAACCACGGCUCGGGUCAGUAUCUGCAUCUUCCUCCAGAUUAUCUCCAACUCAGAUGUGAUGUAAGGACAGGCUCUGAAUUGUGUCGUGGUUUUACGCCUCGAACAGUUUCCUGAGAUCCGCUGUCAUUGAGUCAGUUUUUCAGUGUUCAGAUUAAGAAGAAUAUCAGAUUGUGCUCAGACGUGGACUUAAUCCAGCCUCAGAUCCUGACACUGCAGCACAAAACAAAUCUACACAAGAGAAGAAGAAGAAGAGGAGGAGGAGGGUGAGUCUUUGAGAUGGAGCGUCUUUGACUUCCUCCUCUGAAACCUGAAGCCGUUUGGAGAGAGACGCAGUAAAUAGAAAACAGCGAUUGUCGUCUCGCUCGCUGUAAUCUGAUUGGGCACGUUCCCUUCGAAUCGAGGGCACCGCCAAAACAAAAGAUCACCAAUCAGAUAGCCGGGGCUCCCACUGAACUUCUUGGCAUGCUAUGAAUGCUUCGCCCUCUCAUGUGCGCUCGUAUCUCGCUGCGAGAUUCCCCGUGUCGCUUUUAUGUGUUAAUCGUCACCGCUCAGUGAGACUAUUGUGCUGUCUGCAUCGCCGGGGGAGGAAACCGCAGAAAAGAGAGGAGAAGAAGAAGGGUGGCGGGGGGAGUUUGAAUGUGAGACUGCCAGCUCCGUUUCACACAGGCUGAGAAUCGCCUCAUCACCCCGCUGACGAAGGUCCAAGAGUGCAAUGUGGAGCGCUGCCACCGCAGACGACGACUCUAAUUGGUGGGAAAGAAAAUGAAGAUUUCAUUUCAGUGUUCAGGCCGGAGCGAAGAAAGCAUCACCUGAACUUUUGUCUGAGUUAAAGAAGAAGAAGACGAAGAGGAGGAGGAGGAGGAGGAGGCAGGUGCUCAGAGACGAAAUCUGAGGGUCAUCGCUGCACUGGGGCCUCAUCGUGACCUUUUAUGAGAGAACUGAGAAUAAAUCUGAGAUUAUAAAAGCAGAAUAAUCUCUACAUGUCACACCUGAGAGUCGCCGUGACCCCUCAGAAACUCCACUUUAGUUUUAUUACUGAAUGAAGAAAAGACUUAGUGGAAAAAAGAUCUGUUCUUAUAUGUUUUCUUCUACUGUAAAUGCAAGCGGGUGAUGGUGCUCAUGGGAAAUGUAGUCAAAAAACCCCCAAAUCAACAUGAAAUCUCCUGAUAGUGCCUUUAAUUUGAAGAAAACAGGUCAGACGUGGUUUGUUAGAUUAAAAAGUGUCACAUUCAUCAUUAAUUAUGAACUUUUGGUUAAGAGUUCAAACUUUAUAUGUUAAAGGUAAAAUUUUUAGUAGUUCAGGAGGGUAGAUACAUGUCAGAUUUAAGCCCCUACCCUUAAAAUCCCCCGUUUAUGGACCUAAUAUCAGGGAUUUAAAUGAUUUACAUUUCCUUGUUUUUAAGGAUUUUAAAACGGUAAAGACGUGGUCAGGGAUUUAGAGGAGAACAGCAGAAAAAGAGCAGAUCUUUAGGGUUUUAGUCAGCCUGUAAAAAUCCUGGAUCCUACAUUUCCCAUCAUGUACUUCUUAUAGGACGUGUUGACUAUAAUCUUACUGUAUAUCCUGAAGUUUUGAGUGUAAACGUAGAUUAUCCAGAGUGACAGCUUCUUAUUGUUUUCAGUCAUUUCUGCAGGAUCCCUGAGACGAGGUGAAUCAGCUGCACAGAAGCAUGAAAUCAGUUCAAUGUAGACCGCUAUAACUCAAACAAAGCCGUUUAUUCUGUUUUUAUCUGAUUAUAGAUAAGACAAAUACUGCAUAAAUCAGAGUAUUUGUGUCUGUUUUUGUAUCAGCAUGUAUCAUAUGGACAAUGACGUGCAGUGACAGAGCCGUAAAUGUGAAAAUAUGACGAGAAGAAGAGAGUUCUCGGCACUUUUCUCCGAGAUGUUUUUGUUUCUGUCUGUAAAGUGAAAUGAAGAUGUCGGAGUUGGAGCCGUGAUUAGAUUAUUUCCACAGUGUGAGACGUUAAUGACGGAGCCUGAAGAGUCCAGGAGGUUAAGAGGAAUUUCAAGAGUGAAGUGGUUUUACUCUCGAGCCGCUUUCAAAGAACAAAAACUGCUCAGAAACAGAAAAACAGCUCUGCUCUGAAUGCUAAUAUCUCAGCUGUGUGUGUGUGUGUGUGUGUGUGUGUGUGUGUGUGUGUGUGUGUGUGUGUGUGUGUGUGUGUGUGUGUGUGUGUGGGUGUGUUAAGCAGAUGCCAUUCUGCUGAUCUCAGUCCACAUCCAUCCGUCUUCAACCCAAAUCUGGAGGAGGGUGGGCGGGUGGGGACGAGCCGUCCUCCCUCCACAGGUCAGCCCACGGCGUCCAAACCGUCUCAUCUCGUCUCACAGGUCGAGCGGCGCCUGACGGGGAACAUCUGCCCGCCAAAAAUUUACAAGCUGCCACAUAAAAAAAAAAAAAAAAAAAGCGACAUCAACAGUGGGUCAGUGUGCGAGCUGCGGUUCGGCGUGGACGACAGUGUCGAGUGUGGAGCGGCCGAGUUCAGCCGAGUUUAACAAGUUUGAUCUGAAUUAAACAGGUUUACAAAUUAAAAUAAUUUUUUUAAAGAUUUAAAAAAAAUCAAUAUUCUAAAAAAAAAGAAAAAAAUAUUCAAAUAUUCAUAGUCAAAAUAUUGAUGAGUGAUGACAGAUGGAUUUUAAUAAAAGAAAAACAAACAUUUUUGAAUAAGUUUCAAAGUUUUUAUUUAUUUUUUAUCCUGCAGGUUUAAAAAAAAAACGUGAUAAAAAUACUGUAAUUUUAGGUGAAUUUCAUAAAAAGUUGCUCCAAAAAAACCCAAUAAAUUUUAUAUCUUUUUCAAAGUUCCGAUUAGUCACAAGUCUAUUGCAAUGAAAACCUUUUUUCCUCAUUGGAUCGACUUUUUAAGAAAAUUCCUGCAGAUUCUUCAACAAAGAGCGAGAAUAAGGUCAAAAUAGAGGGAUAAAACCAUUAAAAAUACAACACUAAGACAGAAACGUCACCUUUUUUAUGAUUUUGCUGCUCAAUACUGACAGAAAAUCAUGAAUAAAGACAGUUGGAGUUAAUAAAGUUUGAGAUUAACGGGAUAAAAUGUAGAAAAAUGUAAAAAGCUUUCAGACAUAAGGAGGAGAGUCUUUUAUUUUGUUGUUAGAGUUCAAAAAUAAUGAAAAGUUUAUGAUAAUUUGGACCUUUCUCUGCUGUUCCUCCUCAUUGACUUUAAAAAUAUAGAUUUUUUCAGACUCUUCAACACUUGAACCUCCAUCCUGCAGAUCUGAUCUGAACCAAACAGACGUUUAUUCCUCCCAAAUCUGCGGUGUGUUUCAGACAUGAGCUCUCAGGGUGCGUUCACAGCAGCUAAACAAAGGCCGGUUCAGGGAGGUUUAAAGGUUGCAGGACUGCGCUGAAGGAGAGCGGCUCGCUACGGCUUCAGACUCGGAGACGGCGGGUUUACGGGAAGGUCAGAGGUCAGGGGGGAAACGUUUGACUCUCCUGUUUGUGAUUCGUUUUAAUGGUCAAACAUAUUCUCUGCUGCUUUAAAGGAAAACACUGAGUCUCAUCUAUCAGACACCGAGGGGGGAGGGCGAGGCGGCGUCGGCGGGGGCGAGGAGGGGAGCCUGCAGAACAGAAGUUCGUUUUUUGCCACGGUACCGAGCGGUUAUUUUAUUGACGUGGGAAGACACGGGAAACGAGCUGCUUUCACUCUUGCAUGUCGAGUCCUUCUGUUGGCGCACGAAUCCAAAACAAUUUCAACAUUUUGAGAAAUACGGGGGCAGCUGGCGUUCCCACAGCCGCGCCGGAAUUAGCCCUUUACGCGCUGCAACCCUAUCUGCUCUGCACCUGGGCGUGCGAGCGAGCGAGGCAGCCCUGCACCUUUGACUCAGACCACUGCUGCAGAGAGAGAGAGAGAGAGAGAGAGUGUGUGAGUGAGUGUGUGUGUGUGAGGGAGAGAGAGAGAAUUUACAGUACGAGAGGAAACUGUGUCUGCGUCGCCUUCCUGCAUGUUUGAAAUUCUCUGUCCAUUAGCUGGAGGUUUAUGGGACUUUCAUAACCCACAGGCUCUUGGAGAUCCUCCUAGAGGUCACAGAUGGAGAUGUGCAUCACUCCUGCAUAAGGAGGAGGAGGAGGAAGAGGAGGAGGUGAUUCAGGAACCUGACAACACCUGUGCACAAAAAAACUCUGCAGAAGUGAUGCACGGGAAAAAUUAAACCUGCAAAAUCAGGACAGAAAAUACAACAAAAAACAGAAAAAAUUUCCUCAUAAUUCUGCAAAAUUAAACCUGCUGCACAGAAGUUUCUUUACUGUAAACACGACCGGAGUAUUUGAUUUAUUUUAAUAAAAGAUCUCACCUCUCUUCGUCGUAACGAUGUGCUGAAAACGAUGAUUUGCAGGUAAAAAUGACAAAAUCAACAAGUUUCAGAAUAAAGAGAUCAUAAAAGUUAAAGUUCAACAGAAACAAACGUGUAAAUAAGGUCAUGAGCAGGCGGUGAUAGUCGGUAUUUUUAGUGAAGUUUAAUAUUAAAUCCUCUAAAAAUGUCAAAUUAAGAGUUUUAAUGGACUUAAUUCAUUUGCAUUAAUUGACACAAAGUUGAAAUUUAACGUAUUUGAGGAAAAUGAACGUUGCUGCUUUAAAACAGGAUGUGAAGUGUAGUAAAUAUUCAAAGAAAGCGAGUGUGAAGCUGCGCUGUGUUUCUGUGGACUCCUCUCUGACUGCAGCUACACUUCCACUCCAUAAAACCUGCAUUAACAAAGUUUAAUUAGCACGACUUCAUUAGUUUGGGUUUUGGUAGAGGGGGUUUGCAUUGUUAAUUUCCUACCUGCCAAAAAAAACAAACCCUCUAUCUGUGGGGAGGUACGUGUGUGUAGGUGUGUGUGUGUGUGAGAGAGAGAGAGAACAGCGGUGAGGAGCGAACAUGUUGUCGCCCGUGUUGAACAUCUGACCUGGCUGGAAACCUGCGGCGAGCGGCACAGCUGAACAGGAGGCCGUCUGGAUGGGAGAGGAAGGGGGGAGGGAGGGCGAGGGGGAGGAGGGGGGGGGCAGGCUUGGCUGUACAUGCUUGGCUCCUCGCCCCGGUCCCAUUGACCAGACAGCUGAACUAGCGAGGGAGGAAGGGAGAGAGGAGAGAGGAGAGGAGGGAGGAGAGGAGGAAGCGUAUGGAGCUCCUGUGUUUUGUACAUGAUUACAGAAUAAUAAUCCGUACUGUUAACGUUUGUUUCACCUCAUUUCUGCUGCGUGAACCGACGUGCCAAAAUCACAACCUGUGUCUUUAAGAGGAUUUGUUUCUUCUCUAAACCUGAACCACAGUUUGACAUAUUUUUGGUCUAUUUUUCAGAAACCGACCAGAGAGUUUGAGAAAAUGAAACAACUGUUUUUGUGAGCGGAGUCUGGAGGGGUUUUGAGGCAAAUCUUAACACCUGGAAUAUCAGAAUAAAUCUGUCUUCUCUGUGCAUUUUUCAGCCUCCAAAUUCUAUGUUUUAUUCUUCUAGUUUUGCACAAACAGGCCCAGGUGACCAACAAACAGCUUAUUGUGAAUUUCAGAGGUGUCAAAGUUUCUCAGGAAGAGUGAUCGGUGUGAUUCUGUGAGAAGAGAAAUGUGAUAGAGCCGACAUCCUCUGUUACACUUCAAUAAUAUUUAAAGAUAAAGAUUUGCUUCUGUGUUAGUUUACUCUCUUGGGGUUUGAGCACCUGUUGUUGUCGUUCAUUUAUCUGAUCCUGUGGGAUUAUUAAAGUUGAGUCAGUGUGCAGCUUCUUCUUCUACUGUUUCUCUGAGUUUACCCCGAGACACUCACUCUUCUUAUGUUGGAAAAUUUACGUUUAUUUCUCCACAAACUUUAACUCAGAGUCAGAAAUGUGCCGCUCUUGUGUAUUUUUUUGCGUACUGCACCUUUACACCCGUGUUGUGUUUCACAGCGUGAGCGCGUGUUCAUGUCGUCUCUUCCUCUCAUCUUUUGCAGCGUCUCCUCUCAGUGUGACUGCCUCUGCUGGGUCCCUGCAGGGGGUUUGCCGCUGGCUCCGCCCACCUCCGUCCAGUUCCAGCCAAUCAGGUGCUAAUGUGCGGGAACAGGAGAGGGCUGCGCUGACAGAUGGCAGGCUGACCUGGAAAACCUGCCCCCUUUUCAGGGUUCAGCAGUCGGCAGAUGACAGG
Xyrichtys novacula (pearly razorfish) is the source of this 11742-nucleotide non-coding RNA. The record is from the annotation of a GenBank genome assembly. NCBI's taxonomy places the organism in Eukaryota, Metazoa, Chordata, Actinopteri, Labriformes, Labridae.